UUAAGUCAAAACUAAACUAGUUAAAGAGUUAAAGUUGUUUAAAUAAGUUAAAUUAAUUAAUGUGGUUUAGUUGGUAGAUUUAGUUUUGUAUUAAGUCAAAACUAAACUAGUUAAAGAGUUAAAGUUGUUUAAAUAAGUUAAAUUAAUUAAUGUGAUUUAGUUGGUGGAUUUAGUGUUGUAUUAAGUCAAAACUAAACUAGUUAAAGAGUUAAAGUUGUUUAAAUAAGUUAAAUUAAUUAAUGUGAUUUAGUUGGUGGAUUUAGUGUUGUAUUAAGUCAAAACUAAACUAGUUAAAGAGUUAAAGUUGUUUAAAUAAGUUAAAUUAAUUAAUGUGAUUUAGUUGGUGGAUUUAGUGUUGUAUUAAGUCAAAACUAAACUAGUUCAAGAGUUAAAGUUGUUUAAAUAAGUUAAAUUAAUUAAUGUGAUUUAGUUGGUGGAUUUAGUGUUGUAU
Molecule: long non-coding RNA, 451 nt
Filed under: Solanum tuberosum (potato)
Lineage: Eukaryota; Viridiplantae; Streptophyta; Magnoliopsida; Solanales; Solanaceae
Description: long non-coding RNA (STUB_LNC000900)
Source: RNAcentral